RNAcentral lists this ribosomal RNA (2906 nucleotides) under Klebsiella oxytoca. Its description in RNAcentral is "23S ribosomal RNA". It matches the Rfam family "Bacterial large subunit ribosomal RNA". Lineage: Bacteria; Pseudomonadati; Pseudomonadota; Gammaproteobacteria; Enterobacterales; Enterobacteriaceae. The record is from RNAcentral.
GGUUAAGCGACUAAGCGUACACGGUGGAUGCCCUGGCAGUCAGAGGCGAUGAAGGACGUGCUAAUCUGCGAAAAGCGUCGGUAAGGUGAUAUGAACCGUUAUAGCCGGCGAUGUCCGAAUGGGGAAACCCAGUGCAAUUCGUUGCACUAUCGUUAACUGAAUACAUAGGUUAACGAGGCGAACCGGGGGAACUGAAACAUCUAAGUACCCCGAGGAAAAGAAAUCAACCGAGAUUCCCCCAGUAGCGGCGAGCGAACGGGGAGCAGCCCGGAGUCUGAAUCAGCUUGUGUGUUAGUGGAAGCGUCUGGAAAGUCGCAGGGUACAGGGUGAUACUCCCGUACACUAAAACAUACAGGCUGUGAACUCGAAGAGUAGGGCGGGACACGUGGUAUCCUGUCUGAAUAUGGGGGGACCAUCCUCCAAGGCUAAAUACUCCUGACUGACCGAUAGUGAACCAGUACCGUGAGGGAAAGGCGAAAAGAACCCCGGCGAGGGGAGUGAAAAAGAACCUGAAACCGUGUACGUACAAGCAGUAGGAGCCCACUUGUUGGGUGACUGCGUACCUUUUGUAUAAUGGGUCAGCGACUUAUAUUCUGUAGCAAGGUUAACCGUAUAGGGGAGCCGCAGGGAAACCGAGUCUUAACUGGGCGUUAAGUUGCAGGGUAUAGACCCGAAACCCGGUGAUCUAGCCAUGGGCAGGUUGAAGGUUGGGUAACACUAACUGGAGGACCGAACCGACUAAUGUUGAAAAAUUAGCGGAUGACUUGUGGCUGGGGGUGAAAGGCCAAUCAAACCGGGAGAUAGCUGGUUCUCCCCGAAAGCUAUUUAGGUAGCGCCUCGUGAAUUCAUCUUCGGGGGUAGAGCACUGUUUCGGCUAGGGGGUCAUCCCGACUUACCAACCCGAUGCAAACUACGAAUACCGAAGAAUGUUAUCACGGGAGACACACGGCGGGUGCUAACGUCCGUCGUGAAGAGGGAAACAACCCAGACCGCCAGCUAAGGUCCCAAAGUCAUGGUUAAGUGGGAAACGAUGUGGGAAGGCCCAGACAGCCAGGAUGUUGGCUUAGAAGCAGCCAUCAUUUAAAGAAAGCGUAAUAGCUCACUGGUCGAGUCGGCCUGCGCGGAAGAUGUAACGGGGCUAAACCAUGCACCGAAGCUGCGGCAGCGACACUAUGUGUUGUUGGGUAGGGGAGCGUUCUGUAAGCCGUUGAAGGUGGCCUGUGAGGGUUGCUGGAGGUAUCAGAAGUGCGAAUGCUGACAUAAGUAACGAUAAUGCGGGUGAAAAACCCGCACGCCGGAAGACCAAGGGUUCCUGUCCAACGUUAAUCGGGGCAGGGUGAGUCGACCCCUAAGGCGAGGCCGAAAGGCGUAGUCGAUGGGAAACAGGUUAAUAUUCCUGUACUUGGUGUUACUGCGAAGGGGGGACGGAGAAGGCUAUGUUGGCCGGGCGACGGUUGUCCCGGUUUAAGCAUGUAGGCGGAUGUUCCAGGUAAAUCCGGAACGUCACUAACGCUGAGGUGUGAUGACGAGGCACUACGGUGCUGAAGUGACAAAUGCCCUGCUUCCAGGAAAAGCCUCUAAGCAUCAGGUAACAUCAAAUCGUACCCCAAACCGACACAGGUGGUCAGGUAGAGAAUACCAAGGCGCUUGAGAGAACUCGGGUGAAGGAACUAGGCAAAAUGGUGCCGUAACUUCGGGAGAAGGCACGCUGAUGGUAAGUGAAGUGACUUGCUCAUGGAGCUGAAAUCAGUCGAAGAUACCAGCUGGCUGCAACUGUUUAUUAAAAACACAGCACUGUGCAAACACGAAAGUGGACGUAUACGGUGUGACGCCUGCCCGGUGCCGGAAGGUUAAUUGAUGGGGUUAUCCUCGCGGAGAAGCUCUUGAUCGAAGCCCCGGUAAACGGCGGCCGUAACUAUAACGGUCCUAAGGUAGCGAAAUUCCUUGUCGGGUAAGUUCCGACCUGCACGAAUGGCGUAAUGAUGGCCAGGCUGUCUCCACCCGAGACUCAGUGAAAUUGAACUCGCUGUGAAGAUGCAGUGUACCCGCGGCAAGACGGAAAGACCCCGUGAACCUUUACUAUAGCUUGACACUGAACACUGGUCCUUGAUGUGUAGGAUAGGUGGGAGGCUUUGAAGUGUGGACGCCAGUCUGCAUGGAGCCAUCCUUGAAAUACCACCCUUUAAUGGCUGGUGUUCUAACGUGGGCCCCUAAUCGGGGUUGCGGACAGUGUCUGGUGGGUAGUUUGACUGGGGCGGUCUCCUCCUAAAGAGUAACGGAGGAGCACGAAGGUCAGCUAAUCCUGGUCGGACAUCAGGAGGUUAGUGCAAUGGCAUAAGCUGGCUUGACUGCGAGCGUGACGGCGCGAGCAGGUGCGAAAGCAGGUCAUAGUGAUCCGGUGGUUCUGAAUGGAAGGGCCAUCGCUCAACGGAUAAAAGGUACUCCGGGGAUAACAGGCUGAUACCGCCCAAGAGUUCAUAUCGACGGCGGUGUUUGGCACCUCGAUGUCGGCUCAUCACAUCCUGGGGCUGAAGUAGGUCCCAAGGGUAUGGCUGUUCGCCAUUUAAAGUGGUACGCGAGCUGGGUUUAGAACGUCGUGAGACAGUUCGGUCCCUAUCUGCCGUGGGCGCUGGAGAAUUGAGGGGGGCUGCUCCUAGUACGAGAGGACCGGAGUGGACGCAUCACUGGUGUUCGGGUUGUCAUGCCAAUGGCAUUGCCCGGUAGCUAAAUGCGGAAGAGAUAAGUGCUGAAAGCAUCUAAGCACGAAACUUGCCCCGAGAUGAGUUCUCCCUGACUCCUUGAGGGUCCUGAAGGAACGUUGAAGACGACGACGUUGAUAGGCCGGGUGUGUAAGCGCAGCGAUGCGUUGAGCUAACCGGUACUAAUGAACCGUGAGGCUUAACCUU